AGGGUUUGAUUAUGGCUCAGGACGAACGCUGGCGGCGCGCCUAACACAUGCAAGUCGAACGGAAUCAAGAGGAGCUUGCUUUUCUUGAUUUAGUGGCGAACGGGUGAGUAACGCGUGAGUAACCUGCCCUGGAGUGGGGGACAACAGUUGGAAACGACUGCUAAUACCGCAUAAGCCCACGGUACCGCAUGGUACUGAGGGAAAAGGAUUUAUUCGCUUCAGGAUGGACUCGCGUCCAAUUAGCUAGUUGGUGAGGUAACGGCCCACCAAGGCGACGAUUGGUAGCCGGACUGAGAGGUUGAACGGCCACAUUGGGACUGAGACACGGCCCAG
Molecule: ribosomal RNA, 333 nt
Filed under: uncultured bacterium
Lineage: Bacteria
Description: bacterial SSU rRNA
Rfam family: Bacterial small subunit ribosomal RNA
Source: RNAcentral